RNAcentral lists this ribosomal RNA (507 nucleotides) under Didymella glomerata. RNAcentral describes it as "eukaryotic LSU rRNA". The stretch from base 157 to 310 matches the Rfam family "5.8S ribosomal RNA". Lineage: Eukaryota; Fungi; Ascomycota; Dothideomycetes; Pleosporales; Didymellaceae. RNAcentral also lists the same sequence under 1 other name. The record is from RNAcentral.
CUGCGGAGGAUCAUUACCUAGAGUUGCGGGCUUUGCCUGCCAUCUCUUACCCAUGUCUUUUGAGUACCUUACGUUUCCUCGGCGGGUCCGCCCGCCGACUGGACAAUUUAAACCACUUGCAGUUGCAAUCAGCGUCUGAAAAAACUUAAUAGUUACAACUUUCAACAACGGAUCUCUUGGUUCUGGCAUCGAUGAAGAACGCAGCGAAAUGCGAUAAGUAGUGUGAAUUGCAGAAUUCAGUGAAUCAUCGAAUCUUUGAACGCACAUUGCGCCCCUUGGUAUUCCAUGGGGCAUGCCUGUUCGAGCGUCAUUUGUACCUUCAAGCCUUGCUUGGUGUUGGGUGUUUGUCUCGCCUCUGCGCGUAGACUCGCCUCAAAACAAUUGGCAGCCGGCGUAUUGAUUUCGGAGCGCAGUACAUCUCGCGCUUUGCACUCAGAACGACGACGUCCAAAAGUACAUUUUUACACUCUUGACCUCGGAUCAGGUAGGGAUACCCGCUGAACUUAA